NNNGAAGAAGCGCCGGCUAACUACGUGCCCGCAGCCGCGGUAAUACGUAGGGCGCGAGCGUUGUCCGGAAUUAUUGGGCGUAAAGAGCUCGUAGGCGGCUGGUCGCGUCUGCUGUGAAAUCCGGGGCUUAACCCCGGGCGUGCAGUGGAUACGGGCCGGCUGGAGGCAGGCAGGGGAGAAUGGAAUUCCCGGUGUAGCGGUGAAAUGCGCAGAUAUCGGGAGGAACACCGGUGGCGAAGGCGGUUCUCUGGGCCUGUACUGACGCUGAGGAGCGAAAGCGUGGGGAGCAAACAGGAUUAGAUACCCUGGUAGUCCACGCCGUAAACGUUGGGCGCUAGGUGUGGGUCCCUCCACGGGGUCUGUGCCGCAGCUAACGCAUUAAGCGCCCCGCCUGGGGWGUACGGCCGCAAGGCUAAAACU
This 420-nucleotide ribosomal RNA is filed under the name uncultured actinomycete. RNAcentral's name for it is "bacterial SSU rRNA". It matches the Rfam family "Bacterial small subunit ribosomal RNA", at positions 481 to 901 of the family's 1533-position model. The record is from RNAcentral. Lineage: Bacteria; Bacillati; Actinomycetota; Actinomycetes; Actinomycetales.